RNAcentral lists this ribosomal RNA (266 nucleotides) under uncultured bacterium. Its description in RNAcentral is "partial 16S ribosomal RNA". It matches the Rfam family "Bacterial small subunit ribosomal RNA", at positions 793 to 1055 of the family's 1533-position model. The record is from RNAcentral.
GUCCACGCCGUAAACGAUGAGUGCUAGGUGUCACGGGCUUUGACCCUCGUGGUGCCGUAGCUAACGCAAUAAGCACUCCGCCUGGGGAGUACGGUCGCAAGACUAAAACUCAAAGGAAUUGACGGGGGCCCGCACAAGCGGUGGAGCAUGUGGUUUAAUUCGACGCGACGCGCAGAACCUUACCUGGGCUAGAAAACACAGGAACCUGGGUGAAAACUCGGGGUGCCCUUCGGGGAAUCUGUGGUUAGGUGCUGCAUGGCUGUCGU